Molecule: unclassified non-coding RNA, 205 nt
Filed under: uncultured fungus
Lineage: Eukaryota; Fungi
Description: sequence contains ITS1, 5.8S rRNA gene
Source: RNAcentral
UUAACUAUUAUAUAGUACUCAGACAGUAUAGACAAACAGAGUUUAGGUCCUCUGGCAAGCGCCCGCCGGCCGGAGCCAGCAGCCCGAGGGCAGGCCUGCCAAAGCAACAAAGUGUAAUAAACAAAGGGUGGUAGGUUACCCGGGAGGCCUUGCGGCAACCCAGGCGACUACUGUAAUGAUCCUUCCGCAGGUUCACCUACGGAAA